AUGUGGUUGCUGCUGCUACCGCUUUGUCGAGGUCAAGGGUCAAUAAAACUCGGCUUCCAGUGUUCCUUCUGCGGUGUGGAGGAGAUCCCCAAACCAAAACCCUGGCUCCUCUCUCUGCUUGGCACCGCCUACACCAGUGACUUCGACAGUCAAUCCUCAGCGCCUGUCGCGACAAAGCUCUGGAAGGAGUGUGAUUGUGCUAGCAGAGUAAAAUACUGGAAUCGCUCUGACUGCUCCUGGACUUCCAAGGUGAUGCUGGGAGAUUCGUUCUGCCACUUUGCCUAUACUCCGCCUGAUCACCGUUCAUCCAGAGAAAAGGAGAGGAAGGGGAUGGAUGAGCAAGGACCAGAAGGACCAGAAGAAGAAGGGCAAGGGAGAUGGGGCGAUGUGCGUGUCCAUGGAGGUAGUUGA
RNAcentral lists this ribosomal RNA (411 nucleotides) under Triticum aestivum (bread wheat). RNAcentral's name for it is "partial small subunit ribosomal RNA". Lineage: Eukaryota; Viridiplantae; Streptophyta; Magnoliopsida; Poales; Poaceae. The record is from RNAcentral.